RNAcentral lists this unclassified non-coding RNA (299 nucleotides) under fungal sp. Its description in RNAcentral is "partial internal transcribed spacer region". The stretch from base 1 to 46 matches the Rfam family "Eukaryotic small subunit ribosomal RNA", at positions 1786 to 1831 of the family's 1831-position model. The record is from RNAcentral. Lineage: Eukaryota; Fungi.
AAGUCGUAACAAGGUAUCUGUAGGUGAACCUGCAGAUGGAUCAUUUCGAUGAAAACCUUUUUUCUGAGGUGUGGCUCGCACCUGUCUAACUAAACUUGAGCUACCUUUUUCAACACGGUUGCAUCGGUUGGCCUGUCAAACAGUGCGGCGCGAAUUUCGCGCUUGUUGCUGGGCGGCGGUCGACACUUACACCAAACACUUUUGAUGAUCUAGGAUUUGAAGGUUAUUGAUGAAACGAUUGGUAAUGCGAUCGUCUAAAUCUAAAAAACAACUUUUGGCAACGGAUCUCUUGGUUCUCC